Chelonia mydas (Green sea turtle) is the source of this 1738-nucleotide RNA transcript. It is a transcript of the gene named serine/threonine/tyrosine interacting like 1, with no coding region annotated. NCBI's taxonomy places the organism in Eukaryota, Metazoa, Chordata, Testudines, Cheloniidae. The transcript is spliced from 13 exons. The record is from RefSeq and is a predicted model, not a curated record.
AAGCCCCGCGAGAUUUGCCGCUCAAGGCGCGCCCGGGCGAGACUGCGCCCACCAAAGGAUCGCGAGAGCUGGGCAAGGGGUGGUCCCCAACUGACGUCAGCCUUGGUUACGGCCGAGCGUCGCUGCGUAGCAACCGGGAGUUCUCAUGGAGCAAAUAUCCCUUAUGAAGGCAAGGAUUUAAGGACUCAAGCUUGGGCUCAAAGCGAUUGUUUUCAUUCAUAGUAAAAUGGCAGGGUUGGUUCUCUGUGAGCCCAUAGAGCUUUACAACAUCUUGAACCAGUCCACGAAGCUCUCCAGGUUAACUGAGCCUAACUAUCUCUGUUUACUGGAUGCCCGUACAAAGCGUGAGUACAAUGAAAGCCAUGUGAUUACAGCAAGAAGGGUUAAACAGAAUCCUAUGGGGGAAUAUCUGGUACCUGAAUCAGUUGAGCUGGAGUGUGUCAAAUAUUGUGUCGUGUAUGAUGGCAAAACCAGCUUUUUGGAUGAUACCUAUUAUGAUGAUUAUGAGGAGAAGGAGAAGGAUGAAAAGGGGACUAAAGCUGCCUCAGAGACCUCAAGAUCUAAAUCCAGUUCUUCAUGUUCACAAAAUGCUGAGGUAGGGGCUGCCAUCCAGUGUGCCAGAGUCUUAGAGCAAUUAACCCGCCACCCUGUCCGCAUCCUGAAAGGAGGGUAUGAGCGCUUCACUGCGUGCUACCAUUUCUUGAGGACUCAGAAGAUAUUCUGGAUGCCUCAGGAACUGGAUGCUCUUCAGCCAUACCCUGUAGAGAUAUUGCCCGGUCAGUUAUAUAUGGGAGAUUGCAGACAGGCCUGUGACCAACAGAUUCAGAAGGAUCUGAAAAUCAAAGCACAAGUCAACAUCUCAGAGGAGAUUGCAACACUUUUCACAGAUGAAAGCAAAACACUUCAUGUGUCUGUGGCAGAUUCCCCCGACGCAGAUCUUUUUUCCUUUUUCCCCACCAUUUGUCACUUCAUAGAUGCUCAGAUGGCUCUUGGAGCAGUUCUGGUUUUCUCUACCCUGGGUCUAAGUCGGAGCAGCACGGCAGUAAUGGCCUUCCUCAUGCAUUCAUCCCAUUAUCCCUUAAAGGCCCUUUCUGCCCACUCAACCACAGGUCAGCACUGCAGUUGGGUCCUGAGGCAGGGGAGGGCUAAGGGAACAAAGAUACCAAGGCUGCCCAAGGGGGCUUGGAAAUACAUCCAGAAAUGCAAAACAAACAUGAGACCAAACCGUGGCUUUGUGCAACAGCUGUCAGACUGGGAAAGCCAAAUCUAUGGGUCAGCGAUCACAGAUAUCUCCGAACCACAUUAUUGAUAGGCAGCAAGGAGAGCAUCCAACAGGCAAAGAAGCUUUCCAUCUGUACCACCGUUUAAUUUGGGCUGUAUUGUUUGGAAGGAUCUCCAGACGUGAGCGCUGUGUGCAGUGCUGAAGGCUCGUGCCGAUUUACAAUGAAAGGGCAAACAAUCGAUGAAGUUAGCGCCUUAAGAGGAAAAUAAGCAAGGAAUGAACAGAUCCUCCCAAACACUGCACAGAGAUUUCCUCUCAUUAAAAAAUAUAACUCUAAUCUAACAAGAACAUCAAAAUAACACACUGGGGGGGGCUGAAGAUGGACUUCACGGUAUUGCAGAUGUAGCCACAGCCACAAGGAAAACAACAGUGAAAAGAAAGAAGGCAGAUGAUGGAGGAGGAAUACAAAAAUCUCCAGCAGGCUUGGAGGAAGAGAGGAAGAAUCUAGACCAUGUG